This 1198-nucleotide ribosomal RNA is filed under the name Bacillus sp. SA5. Its description in RNAcentral is "bacterial SSU rRNA". It matches the Rfam family "Bacterial small subunit ribosomal RNA", at positions 30 to 1217 of the family's 1533-position model. Lineage: Bacteria; Bacillati; Bacillota; Bacilli; Caryophanales; Bacillaceae. The record is from RNAcentral.
CAAAUGUAAAGCUAGGCUAUACAUGCAAGUCGAGCGGACAGAUGGGAGCUUGCUCCCUGAUGUUAGCGGCGGACGGGUGAGUAACACGUGGGUAACCUGCCUGUAAGACUGGGAUAACUCCGGGAAACCGGGGCUAAUACCGGAUGGUUGUUUGAACCGCAUGGUUCAGACAUAAAAGGUGGCUUCGGCUACCACUUACAGAUGGACCCGCGGCGCAUUAGCUAGUUGGUGAGGUAACGGCUCACCAAGGCGACGAUGCGUAGCCGACCUGAGAGGGUGAUCGGCCACACUGGGACUGAGACACGGCCCAGACUCCUACGGGAGGCAGCAGUAGGGAAUCUUCCGCAAUGGACGAAAGUCUGACGGAGCAACGCCGCGUGAGUGAUGAAGGUUUUCGGAUCGUAAAGCUCUGUUGUUAGGGAAGAACAAGUGCCGUUCAAAUAGGGCGGCACCUUGACGGUACCUAACCAGAAAGCCACGGCUAACUACGUGCCAGCAGCCGCGGUAAUACGUAGGUGGCAAGCGUUGUCCGGAAUUAUUGGGCGUAAAGGGCUCGCAGGCGGUUUCUUAAGUCUGAUGUGAAAGCCCCCGGCUCAACCGGGGAGGGUCAUUGGAAACUGGGGAACUUGAGUGCAGAAGAGGAGAGUGGAAUUCCACGUGUAGCGGUGAAAUGCGUAGAGAUGUGGAGGAACACCAGUGGCGAAGGCGACUCUCUGGUCUGUAACUGACGCUGAGGAGCGAAAGCGUGGGGAGCGAACAGGAUUAGAUACCCUGGUAGUCCACGCCGUAAACGAUGAGUGCUAAGUGUUAGGGGGUUUCCGCCCCUUAGUGCUGCAGCUAACGCAUUAAGCACUCCGCCUGGGGAGUACGGUCGCAAGACUGAAACUCAAAGGAAUUGACGGGGGCCCGCACAAGCGGUGGAGCAUGUGGUUUAAUUCGAAGCAACGCGGAAGAACCUUACCAGGUCUUGACAUCCUCUGACAAUCCUAGAGAUAGGGACGUCCCCUUUCGGGGGCAGAGUGACAGUGGUGCAUGGUUGUCGUCAGCUCGUGUCGUGAGAUGUUGGGGUUAAGUCCCCGCAACGAGCGCACCCUUGAUCGUAGUGCAGCAUCAGUGGGCACCUCUAGUGACUGCCGGUGACAACCCGGAGGCGUGGAAUGACGUCGAAUCAUCAUGCCCCUUAUGACCUUGGGCUUAC